GGAAUAAAAGUUGUCUGGAGUACCAACAAAAAAAUGUGUUGUUAAAAGGUUACAAUUAUGGUAUUCCCUGAAGCACUUAGAGCUGAAUGUGUUCCACUACAAUCAUGUAGCUUUCUCUAUUGCUUAGGUUGUGCCGAAAAAAUGAGUUUACAAAAGAACGAUAGUUAAAAAGACAAAACAAAACAAAAAAAUUUCAGUGGCAUCGGAUUAGAAAUGCGCCUUUUAUGGGGCCAAGACUUUAAAUCGAGAUAUCGGUCUACAUGGCAGCUAUAUACAAAUCGGGACCGAUUUGGGCCAAGUUGCGGAAAAAUGUCGAAGAGCCAACCCACUGUCCCAAAUUUCGGCGAAAGCGGACAAUAAAUGCGCCUUUUAUGGCCCCAAAACCUAAAACCGAGAGAUCAGUCUAUAUGGCAGCUAUAUCCAAAUCUGAACCGAUCAGGACCAAAUUGAUGUCAUGGGUUACAAAGAUGUCAUGGGCCUAAGACAACUCACUGUCCCAAAUUUCAGCAGAAUUAAAUAAUAAAUGUGGCUUUUAUGGGCCUAAGACCCUA
This is a long non-coding RNA of Stomoxys calcitrans (stable fly), 551 nucleotides long. RefSeq lists it as uncharacterized. The record is from RefSeq and is a predicted model, not a curated record. NCBI's taxonomy places the organism in Eukaryota, Metazoa, Arthropoda, Insecta, Diptera, Muscidae. The transcript is spliced from 2 exons.